Molecule: ribosomal RNA, 292 nt
Filed under: uncultured bacterium
Lineage: Bacteria
Description: partial 16S ribosomal RNA
Rfam family: Bacterial small subunit ribosomal RNA
Source: RNAcentral
GUGUCAGCCGCCGCGGUAAUACGAAGGGUGCAAGCGUUAAUCGGAAUUACUGGGCGUAAAGCGCGCGUAGGUGGUUCAGUAAGUUGGAAGUGAAAUCCCCGGGCUCAACCUGGGAACUGCUUUCAAAACUGCUGAGCUAGAGUACGGUAGAGGGUGGUGGAAUUUCCUGUGUAGCGGUGAAAUGCGUAGAUAUAGGAAGGAACACCAGUGGCGAAGGCGACCACCUGGACUGAUACUGACACUGAGGUGCGAAAGCGUGGGGAGCAAACAGGAUUAGAAACCCGUGUAGUCC